Molecule: ribosomal RNA, 373 nt
Filed under: uncultured bacterium
Lineage: Bacteria
Description: bacterial SSU rRNA
Rfam family: Bacterial small subunit ribosomal RNA
Source: RNAcentral
UAAUACGGAGGAUGCAAGCGUUAUCCGGAUUUAUUGGGUUUAAAGGGUGCGCAGGCGGGGCAAUAAGUCAGUGGUGAAAUCCUGCGGCUUAACCGUAGAACUGCCAUUGAUACUGUUGCCCUUGAGUAUAGUUGAGGUGGGCGGAACAUGUAAUGUAGCGGUGAAAUGCAUAGAUAUUACAUAGAACACCAAUUGCGAAGGCAGCUCACUAAACUAUCACUGACGCUGAGGCACGAAAGCGUGGGGAGCGAACAGGAUUAGAUACCCUGGUAGUCCACGCCGUAAACGAUGAUCACUCGUUGUUGGCAAUAUAUCGUCAGCGACUGAGCGAAAGCAUUAAGUGAUCCACCUGGGGAGUACGAUCGCAAGAUUG